GGUCUCAGUUCGGAUCGCAGGCUGCAACCCGCCUGCGUGAAGUUGGAAUUGCUAGUAAUCGCGGAUCAGCAUGCCGCGGUGAAUACGUUCCCGGGCCUUGUACACACCGCCCGUCACACCAUGGGAGCCGGUAAUACCCGAAGUCAGUAGUCCAACCUCGUGAGGACGCUGCCGAAGGUAGGAUUGGCGACUGGGGUGAAGUCGUAACAAGGUACC
RNAcentral lists this ribosomal RNA (216 nucleotides) under uncultured bacterium. RNAcentral's name for it is "partial 16S ribosomal RNA". It matches the Rfam family "Bacterial small subunit ribosomal RNA", at positions 1284 to 1500 of the family's 1533-position model. The record is from RNAcentral.